AAUCCGUGGCUUACCUGGGUCAAGGGAACGUAUUGGCUUUACAUUUUUGAACUUUUCUUUAUCUUGAUGUCUUAGAAGUCUCUUUACCAAGGAUAAAGGUGCAGCCGGAGUCUCAACUAAAGCAGGCAACACUGGUUUGAAGUAAAGGAGAUAUCACAAGAAAUGCAGCAACUUCUUGAAUGUAAGAACUGGCCUACAAACCUCAGACCAAGAGCACCAGUGAAAAGAAAGAGAUGGUCAAAACCACGUGAGCCUAACUGACGUAGAGUUAAAGAGGACAACGGGGAUGGCCGCUGGCAAAUUUUGCUGUUGGCGGAUGGAAUGGAGGAGCUUGACGAAACGGUCCCGCAGUUUCUGUCGGGUUUCACCAAUGUAGAGGAUGCCAUUUCAAGAGUACCGGAUACAAUGGAUGACCUCUACAGAUUCGCAGCUAAGGUAUUGCCUCACCUGGAAGGACUGUUGGGGGACCGGAAUUCAGGUAAAGGAGGAGAUGAAUGGUCAGGUCUAUUUCAACAGCUAUUUUUUGACUAGGUUGUGAUCUUAUAUGAAAUUAUAUUCUGCAAUGAUACCAUGAUCAUAAUGGCUUUGAGUUGAUCAAAUUUAUUGAGAAAUAACUCACCUUGUCUGAAGAGGUGUAUCAAAAAUCGAAACUAGUUUUCAAGGAAGCGAUUUAUCAUCACACAAAUGCAUCAAUUUAGUGCAUUUGAAAAUUAAGUGAGGGCAAAGUAAUUGAAAUAGUACUUUUUUGUUAAAGGGAAGGCAAACUGACAAGUGACAUUAGAAAGUAAAAAUUUAAUUUUACAGUUAUUUGUUUUAUUUUCCUACAAAUAUUAAAGCAACAGAUUGCACCAGGCCUUUGGGUUGUUUUAUUACUGUAAUUUCAAAGUUUGUUUUAGCAUCCUUUGGUGACUGCUAAAAGCAAAGGAGUCUAUCAGGUAAAUCUCUAGCCCCUAAAAGUUUAAACUUGAUGGUUGCAGAUAUGUUGGUAAUAGUCCUCAAUAGUUGAAUGUAUUCAUUUUUAUUUUCAGGUACCUAUUGGUCUUUAAGUGGAAUGAAAAUAAAAUUCUGAAGGUAUAUUUGCAUCUCUGCAAUCAAAAAUUCUAUUUUCCUAAUGUUAUACAACUAUCCCACAAAUACUUAACUGACUUCCUUUUUAUUGGAAUCAUACAUAUUAUCAAUAAAUAUAAAU
Molecule: long non-coding RNA, 1189 nt
Organism: Hypanus sabinus (Atlantic stingray)
Lineage: Eukaryota; Metazoa; Chordata; Chondrichthyes; Myliobatiformes; Dasyatidae
Exons: 4
Source: RefSeq, a predicted model, not a curated record